Molecule: ribosomal RNA, 1065 nt
Filed under: uncultured Aurantimicrobium sp.
Lineage: Bacteria; Bacillati; Actinomycetota; Actinomycetes; Micrococcales; Microbacteriaceae
Description: bacterial SSU rRNA
Rfam family: Bacterial small subunit ribosomal RNA
Source: RNAcentral
GGGCUGACUAGGCUACUCCUGGCUCCGAGCGAGAUCCUGGCUCAGAGUUUGAUCCUGGCUGGAGAACGGUCGAGGCUACGAGAGUAACCUGCCCCCGACUCUGGGAUAAGCCCGGCAAACUGGGUCUAAUACCGGAUAUGACUUCCUACUGCAUGGUGGGUUGGUGAAAGAUUUAUCGCUGGGGGAUGGACUCGCGGCCUAUCAGCUUGUUGGUGAGGUAAUGGCUCACCAAGGCGACGACGGGUAGCCGGCCUGAGAGGGUGACCGGCCCCACUGGGACUGAAACACCGCCCAGACUCCUACGGGAGGCAGCAGUGGGGAAUAUUGCACAAUGGGCGGAAGCCUGAUGCAGCGACUCCGCGUGAGGGAUGACGGCCUUCGGGUUGUAAACCUCUUUCAGUAGGGAAGAAGCGAAAGUGACGGUACCUGCAGAAGAAGCGCCGGCUAACUACGUGCCAGCAGCCGCGGUAAUACGUAGGGCGCAAGCGUUAUCCGGAUUUAUUGGGCGUAAAGAGCUCGUAGGCGGUUUGUCGCGUCUGCCGUGAAAGUCCGAGGCUCAACCUCGGAUCUGCGGUGGGUACGGGCAGACUAGAGUGAUGUAGGGGAGACUGGAAUUCCUGGUGUAGCGGUGAAAUGCGCAGAUAUCAGGAGGAACACCGAUGGCGAAUGCAGGUCUCUGGGCAUUUACUGACGCUGAGGAGCGAAAGCAUGGGGAGCGAACAGGAUUAGAUACCCUGGUAGUCCAUGCCGUAAACGUUGGGCACUACGUGUGGGGGACAUUCCACGUUUUCCGCGCCGUAGCUAACGCAUUAAGUGCCCCGCCUGGCGAGUACGGCCGCACGGCUAAACUCAAGGAAUUGACGGGGGCCCGCUCAAGCGGCGGAGCAUGCGGAUUAAUUCGAUGCAACGUCGAAGAAUCUUACCAAGGCUUGACAUGUGCCAGACCGCUCCAGAGAUGGGGUUUCUCUUUCGAGGACUGGUUCACAGGUUGUGCAUGGUUGUCGAUCAGCUCGUGUCGUGAGAUGUUGGGUUAAGUCCCGCAACGAUCGCAACCCUCGCUCCAUG